AUUGAACGCUGGCGGCGUGCUUAACACAUGCAAGUCGAUCGGUAACAGGUGUAGCAAUACAUGCUGACGAGAGGCGGACGGGUGAGUAAUGCUUGGGAAUCUGCCUAUUAGUGGGGGACAACCCGGGGAAACUCGGGCUAAUACCGCAUACGCUCUACGGAGGAAAGCCGGGGACCGCAAGGCCUGGCGCUAAUAGAUGAGCCCAAGUCGGAUUAGCUAGUUGGUAGGGUA
This 231-nucleotide ribosomal RNA is filed under the name uncultured bacterium. RNAcentral describes it as "partial 16S ribosomal RNA". It matches the Rfam family "Bacterial small subunit ribosomal RNA", at positions 30 to 259 of the family's 1533-position model. The record is from RNAcentral.